This 777-nucleotide long non-coding RNA is filed under the name Salmo salar (Atlantic salmon). RNAcentral describes it as "lncRNA (ENSSSAG00000082664.1)". The record is from RNAcentral. Lineage: Eukaryota; Metazoa; Chordata; Actinopteri; Salmoniformes; Salmonidae.
UCAACACGUAUUUAUGGACGCCGUUUGGGUCUUUGCGUGUCAAAAAAGACGACACAUCAAAUAAGCUUUUAAUUUGAUGCGCCAAAUAGCCAAAUUCUAUUAUACAAUGUUGUGCGUGCUGAAUUUGCAUGCGCAACUAAGCCAAGUGCCACCACUAAGGUUGUCCAACAUUCUCCCCGACAUGCAACCAUCCCAGAGGCAGGGGAGAAAGGAUGGUGAUCCUGCUGGUUCUGUCUGCCUGCCAACCACAUCCCAAGCAGUUUCACCUGAUUUAAUCCUAGCUAGUUGAAAUACAGAAUAAUAAUCAAGCAUUUUGUCAACAUUGAUAACAGUUUGGAAACAGGAGCAUUCAACGUGUUUGAAACCCACCCUCUUCCCCACUGCUUGGAAUGCCAGAGAUUUUUAGAAGCCAUGUUUGCUCUUGGAUGGGCCGAGAAGGGUGAAAUGUCACUUAUAGAGGAAGAAAUGUAAUGUGGAACUGUGAAAUUAUGUUGUCUAGAAUAUGAAUUGGAUUUAGUCACUGCCUCUGGCAUUUACUUAUUCAGAUCAACUUUAUUAUCCCACCAGGGGGAAAUUAAUUUGGUCAUGUGCCUAAAAACACAUACAUAAAAUAGAAUUCAUUUAAAGUGCAAUAGCUACACAUUUCAAUAAAAUUGCAAUAUGUUGUGUACUCAAGGGAUCAACAGACUAUUGGCUGUUGGAAUAAAAGAUUCCCCAUAUCUAUCUGAUUUGAUUUUCUUUUGAAUAAGUCUCUUUCCCCUUGUCUGGCUGCUGCUG